UACGAAGGGGGCUAGCGUUGCUCGGAAUCACUGGGCGUAAAGCGCACGUAGGCGGCUUUUUAAGUCAGGGGUGAAAUCCUGGAGCUCAACUCCAGAACUGCCUUUGAUACUGAGAGGCUCGAGUCCGGGAGAGGUGAGUGGAACUGCGAGUGUAGAGGUGAAAUUCGUAGAUAUUCGCAAGAACACCAGUGGCGAAGGCGGCGCUCUAGUACGGUACUGACGCUGAGACGCGAAAGCGUGGGGAGCGAACAGG
Molecule: ribosomal RNA, 253 nt
Filed under: uncultured bacterium
Lineage: Bacteria
Description: partial 16S ribosomal RNA
Rfam family: Bacterial small subunit ribosomal RNA
Source: RNAcentral